GACGAACGCUGGCGGCGUGCUUAACACAUGCAAGUCGAACGGAAAGGCCCCUUUGGGGGUACUCGAGUGGCGAACGGGUGAGUAACACGUGAGUAACCUGCCCUUGACUUCGGGAUAACUUCAGGAAACUGGGGCUAAUACCGGAUAGGAAUCCUUGCUGCAUGGUGGGGGUUGGAAAGCUUCGGCGGUUUUGGAUGGACUCGCGGCUUAUCAGCUUGUUGGUGGGGUAGUGGCUUACCAAGGCUUUGACGGGUAGCCGGCCUGAGAGGGCGACCGGCCACAGUGGGACUGAGAUACGGCCCAGACUCCUACGGGAGGCAGCAGUGGGGAAUAUCGCACAAUGGGCGGAAGCCUGAUGCAGAAACGCCGCGGGCGGGAUGACGGCCUUCGGGUUGUAAACCGCUUUCAGCAGGGGCGAAGCUUGUGGUGACGGUACCUGCAGAAGAAGCACCGGCUAACUACGUG
RNAcentral lists this ribosomal RNA (465 nucleotides) under uncultured bacterium. RNAcentral describes it as "partial 16S ribosomal RNA". It matches the Rfam family "Bacterial small subunit ribosomal RNA", at positions 28 to 507 of the family's 1533-position model. The record is from RNAcentral.